UGGGGAAUAUUGCACAAUGGGGGAAACCCUGAUGCAGCGACGCCGCGUGAACGAAGAAGGUAUUCGUAUCGUAAAGUUCUGUCCUAUGGGAAGAUAAUGACAGUACCAUAGAAGAAAGCCCCGGCUAAAUACGUGCCAGCAGCCGCGGUAAUACGUAUGGAGCGAGCGUUGUCCGGAAUUAUUGGGCGUAAAGGGUACGCAGGCGGUUUAAUAAGUCGAAUGUUAAAGAUCGGGGCUCAACCCCGCAAAGCAUUGGAAACUGAUAGACUUGAGUAGUGGAGGGGAAAGUGGAAUUCCUAGUGUAGUGGUGAAAUACGUAGAUAUUAGGAGGGAUACCAGUAGCGGAGGCGACUUUCUGGACACAAACUGACGCUGAGGUACGAAAGCGUGGGGAGCAAACAGG
Molecule: ribosomal RNA, 403 nt
Filed under: bacterium
Lineage: Bacteria
Description: partial 16S ribosomal RNA
Rfam family: Bacterial small subunit ribosomal RNA
Source: RNAcentral